GAAGAAGCACAGUGUUGUCGUGCUGAGAAAGUGUGUGUGACAUCCACAGUAACGAGCCAACAAAGUACACCGGUCUUUGAAGCCAAUUUUACAUAGUGGAAACAGUGUUUUUGACGGAGUUUGUGUGAUUGUGUGAAAAUGUGUAAAGUCCAAAUGCUGAGAGCGUUGGUGAAGCAGCGACUAACUGCGGCUGCUGAAGAGAUAUUUGGGCUGUUUGAAAGAACGAUAGCAGAGUACGAGGAGGAACUUUGUCGUUCAAAAGAGGAGAACGAGCGACAACGGAAACUACUGGACGCUGUUUUCAACCCUCAACUUCGGUUACACAGAGCAGAUGUCCAGCAGCUGUCGGUUAUUAAAGAAGAGAUUCCCCCUGAGCAGCAGGAGGAGUGGAGACCCAGUCUGGACCAGGAGGACCCAGAGCCCCCACACAUUAAAGAGGAACAGGAGGACGUCAGGACCAGUCAGGAGGGAGAGCAGCUUCAAGGGUUCACAUUCACUCUUGUCCCUGUGAAGAGUGAAGAUGAUGAUGAUGAAGAGAAACCUCAGUCCUCACAGCUUCCUCAAAGACAAACUGAACAGAUGGAAACAGAUGAUGGAGAGGACCGUGGAGCACCGGAACCAGCCAGAAACUCAGAUCCAGAUGAACAUUCACAACCUGAUACGGAUGAUAAGACUGAAGACUCUUCUGAAUCUGAGACUGAUGAUAGCGACAAUGUUUUUAAAGACACCAGGGAACCUCAGUCAGGUGAUGUUACCAAUAUAAAGCCUUUGAGCUGUUCAGUUUGUAAGAAAUGUUUUUCAAGGAGACAAAGUUUACGUAGACACCUGAGAACUCACACAGGAGAGAAACCGUUUAGCUGCUCAGUGUGCGAUAAAAGCUUUGGACGAAAGAGUCAUCUGCAGUAUCACAUCACGACUCAUACAGGCGUGAAACCAUUCAGGUGCUCAGUGUGUAGUAAAAGCUUCAGUCAAAAGAGUUCUCUGCAGUUACACAUGAGAACUCACACAGGUGAGAAACCAUUCAGCUGCUCAGUGUGCGAUAAAAGCUUUGGACGAAAGAGUCAUCUGCAGUAUCACAUCACGACUCAUACAGGUGUGAAACCAUUGAGGUGUUCAGUGUGUAGUAAAAGCUUCAGUCAAAAGAGUUCUCUGCAGUUACACAUGAGAACUCAUACAGGUGUGAAACCAUUCAGGUGCUCAGUGUGUAGUAAAAGCUUCAGUCAAAAGAGUUAUCUGCAGUUACACAUGAGAACUCACACAGGUGAGAAACCAUUCAGCUGCUCAGUGUGCGAUAAAAGCUUUGCACAAAAGAGUAAUCUGCAGUAUCACAUCAGGACUCAUACAGGUGUGAAACCAUUCAGGUGCUCAGUGUGUAGUAAAAGCUUCAUUAUAAAGGGUAAUCUGCAGAAUCACAUGAUAACUCAUACUGGUGAGAAACCUUUCAGCUGCUCAGUGUGCGAUAAAAGUUUCAGUCAUAAGAGUACUCUGCAGACACAUAUGAGAAGUCACACUGGUGAGAAACCUUUCAGCUGCUCAGUGUGUGAUAAAAGCUUCAGUCAAAAGACUGCUCUGCAGAAACAUAUGAGAAGUCACACUGGUGAGAAACCUUGCAGCUGCUCAGUGUGUGAUAAAAGCUUCAGUCAAAAGAGUGCUUUGCAGACACAUAUGAGAAGUCACACUGGUGAGAAACCAUUCAGCUGCUCAGUGUGCGAUAAAAGCUUUGCACAAAAGAGUAAUCUGCAGUAUCACAUCAGGACUCAUACAGGUGUGAAACCAUUCAGGUGCUCAGUGUGUAGUAAAGGCUUCAGUCAAAAGAGUUAUCUGCAGACACAUAUGAGAACUCAUACUGGUGUGAAACCAUUCAGGUGCUCAGUGUGUAGUAAAAGCUUCAGUCAAAAGAGUUCUCUGCAGUUACACAUGAGAACUCACACAGGUGAGAAACCAUUCAGCUGCUCAGUGUGCGAUAAAAGCUUUGCACAAAAGAGUAAUCUGCAGUAUCACAUCAGGACUCAUACAGGUGUGAAACCAUUCAGGUGCUCAGUGUGUAGUAAAAGCUUCAUUAUAAAGGGUAAUCUGCAGAAUCACAUGAUAACUCAUACUGGUGAGAAACCUUUCAGCUGCUCAGUGUGCGAUAAAAGUUUCAGUCAUAAGAGUGCUCUGCAGACACAUAUGAGAAGUCACACUGGUGAGAAACCUUUCAGCUGCUCAGUGUGCCAACAAAGUUUCAUUAAAAAGAGUUCUCUAGAGGACCACAUGACAACUCACACAUCCAGCUCAGUCUGCAGUUAAAGCUUCUGUAUUAAAAGUACUAUGCAGAGACACAUGAGAACUCACAAGAGAGCAGCAGGAAAUUAAGAAUCCUGUUCAGCUAUUACAGACUAGAAACUAGACAUCAGAGAUGCACCAUGACAUCAGAACAACAGUGUCUGGCGGCUAGGUCUGUAACUAUUCUGAAUCAGAGUGAGUGAUAACAAUGUGACAAUGGAAAACAACUUUCCCCUGCCUGGCGUACAGGAUCACUGGCUAACAACUUAGCAAGAGUUUACCAAUUUCUCCAGGAACCACUACACCACUGAACAUAGUGGGCAUAAAUAGCUGCGCAGUUUAACUGUGUUCAUGACUAAGCACGGGACUGCUUAACUUUUGUAAUUGUAAUGUAUUGAUCUAGUUUUAUUGUUGUGAUUUUGUUAUGGUUUAUGUUAGGCUACUGUGUUACUCAUGUUCUACACUGCUAUGGUGAUCUUAGUUAAAUAUUAUUUUCCACACAGAAACAGUCUUUGUACAACAAACUGUUUUUAACUUGCCACUGUUCAUAUAAGAUCACCUCGGCCUUUAACACAACCACACACAGCAGAGAGAACCUUUAAAACUUUGCUUUGUCUCUGCUGAACAAGCUCAACAUAAUGUGCAACACACACUCUGUUUUUUUAUUUAGUUUAGUGCAUUGUAGUUUGAUCAUAUUGUGUUUAUACUUUAUAUUUUUAAUAAAUGCUAUCAAAUAUACAUGCUGGUUUAUUAAAUAUUCCCCAAAUGUGAAGGAUACCAAACUCUAUGUUGAGCUACAAAUCCUUCAGCUGACUUAAUGUGAACAUGAUGAACUUAGUUAUAGUUUUUGAAUAAAUAAAUUAGUGCUUCAGAUUAAUUGUUUUGUAUAUUCUAUGAGACUGAGUAUCAUUCAGUUAAUGGUUUUCCUUUAAGGGUGGUGUCCUGAGGAACUUCUAAUAUAAUACGUAUAAGGAUAUUGAUUACUGUUAUUUUUUAUUUUCUUUGAUCAUUUUGAUAGCCAGAAUUAAUUGAUUGCUCCUCCAAAGUUUGAUGACCCUUUAAAUAGUUUUAAUUACCACAAUGUGCAGAACUUCUUUUUUUGUUUUUGGUGAAAAUUUUAAAUUCUUUGUCUGUUUAAUCAGUAGAAUGAUCAUUGUUGUAUUUUCUGUACUUUAUUUUGUCUUUGUUUUAUCGAUCACCCUGUGUGGUGUUUGAAUGUGUGGAAUCUACAUUGUUACUAACAGGAAACAUUAUAAAACAUAAUCAUUAAUUUCAGUUUAUGGGUCCAUGUAUCUUAAAGUUUCAGGUUGCCAUCAAUAAACUUUAUUUUCAUAAAAGGA
RNA transcript from Dicentrarchus labrax (European seabass), 3605 nucleotides. It is a transcript of the gene named gastrula zinc finger protein XlCGF57.1-like, with no coding region annotated. Lineage: Eukaryota; Metazoa; Chordata; Actinopteri; Moronidae. The transcript is spliced from 3 exons. The record is from RefSeq and is a predicted model, not a curated record.